AUCUCUGGGUAGCUCAGUUGGUUAGAGCAUGGCACUAAUGACACCAAGGUUGCAGGUUCAAUCCCUGUAUGGGACA
RNAcentral lists this transfer RNA (76 nucleotides) under Podarcis lilfordi (Lilford's wall lizard). RNAcentral's name for it is "tRNA.Ile". The stretch from base 10 to 68 matches the Rfam family "tRNA", at positions 8 to 63 of the family's 71-position model. From Rfam's summary of the family: Transfer RNA (tRNA) molecules are approximately 80 nucleotides in length. Their secondary structure includes four short double-helical elements and three loops (D, anti-codon, and T loops). Further hydrogen bonds mediate the characteristic L-shaped molecular structure. tRNAs have two regions of fundamental functional importance: the anti-codon, which is responsible for specific mRNA codon recognition, and the 3' end, to which the tRNAs corresponding amino acid is attached (by aminoacyl-tRNA synthetases). tRNAs cope with the degeneracy of the genetic code in two manners: having more than one tRNA (with a specific anti-codon) for a particular amino acid; and 'wobble' base-pairing, i.e. permitting non-standard base-pairing at the 3rd anti-codon position. The record is from RNAcentral. Lineage: Eukaryota; Metazoa; Chordata; Lepidosauria; Squamata; Lacertidae.